CUUGACCAACCGCGUUUCCUCCUCCCAGUACGUAGGCGAUCGCACAGAAUGGUGCGAAGAAAGUUGGCUGGAUAUCCCGUCGCUGAGAAGGUACAAAGGGAAACUCAUCCGAAAGCUGGACCUUCCUCACUGCCGAAUGACCCUGAUGACCAUUUAAAAGGUAAUCAUCUUUAACAUGAAGGUAAACCAGACCUUCUUCUUAAAGUAUGUUUUCCCUCUUCGAAAGCAGCACUGCACUGGUGGAAAAAUGCUACCAUGAUAAUGGGGAAUGUGGACGCAGGUCAUCAAUGCUAUGAAUGCUGAAAAUAAG
This is a long non-coding RNA of Brienomyrus brachyistius, 310 nucleotides long. RefSeq lists it as uncharacterized. The transcript has 3 exons. The record is from RefSeq and is a predicted model, not a curated record. Lineage: Eukaryota; Metazoa; Chordata; Actinopteri; Osteoglossiformes; Mormyridae.